AAAAUAAGCCCUAGUGUGUUUUUUGUGACUAAAAUUAAUAUAAGACCCGGUCUUAUUUUCGGAGAAACACGGGUAUUAGCUAUAUGAAAAAUAUAACUUUCAUGUUCCCAUGCAGGGUUGCGGGAUCCAAAUUUAGGGGUAGCAAAAGAGCAAACCUUCCUAUGUGUUUCACAAUGUUAUGUGGUUACUCAAAUGAACACAAGAACAGAUAAAUAUUUAAAUAAAUAAAAAGUGUUACUAUACAUUAGUGAAUUAAAAAAAACACUUAAAGGGAACACAGUGAGCAUCCAAAGCAUAAACCUAUAAGCCCAUUGCAGUGCAUAUGGUGUUGCCAGGCUAUUGGUACCAUCUCCUGUUUCCAUGUCAAACCAUUUUGAGAAGUUGGACACAAACAGUGAGUCCCAAGGCAAUUUUUCCAGUUUGGCUAGUUUGGCCUUUAAUUUGAAACUCACUUUAAACUCAUAAUAAUUCUCACUUCAGUGAAUAACACUGACAUAUAACCAAACCGUGUUGCAUCCGCAUAUUUCCUUGCAAUUGUUCUCUUUCUGUACACUAGCACCCUUCAUGAUCAUUAGAGAUAUAUCCUGUGGAUUACCACGCCUCACCCAAAGGUGGAGUUAAGGCGUACCUACGGAAAUAAUAAGUGACCACCCCCUUGUGUCCAGGCCCAGAUCAAUCCAAAUGGAAACAUUUGGUUCUAUCUUCUCUUCUGUACCCGCCUCAGAAAUAAUAAUUGCCUCUAUGAAUUUGUUAUUAUUUUCCCAUUCUAUACAUAUGUUGCAUGCCGGCCUUCCGAUCCGAUAGGAUGGACACCACAAUUCCUUCCCCUAUGGUCAAGUUAGGCCACUCAUGUUUGGACUUGGUUAGAAGAUGGCACUUCUCACAUUCCAAAUAUAACAAAAAUGAGGCUUUAUUAUUAUUCUGUGGGGGUAAAUAUGAAUGUUUCUGUCCUUCCUUUGAAUAUGAUACUGGAACAAGGCUAAUGGCACUUACAUAUCAAAGAGAUUUACUCAUCCCUUACAAGGUACAUGCCAAAUGGAUGAAGAGACAUUCAGACUUUUUCCAAGUGUAGAACCUCAUACCUUGCAGAGCCUUGAUUACUUCACAUCCAUAUAGUAAAAUCCUUUUUCACAUUGCUAUGCCAUUCAUACUACCCCUUCUGUCAUCUGACCGCUGUGAGGGUCCGAGCUUCAAAAGAUGUAACCACUUUUGACCUCAACAAUACCAUCUCUGUAAUUUGUACCAUUUACUACACAAAUUACAUUAAAGGAUAAUAUUCCAUAGUGCAAUAAUAAAUUAUGCACCCUUGCCGUGACAAUGGUUAUGCCAAGAGUUUGUUAAUAAUAAUAACUUGUAGAAUAGAAAAGGUUUUGGUAUAUGUCAAUGUUUGAAAGAACAAGUUGUUUUUUUUUUUUUAAAUGUAUUAAAUAAAUUACCACGGC
Pelobates cultripes (western spadefoot toad) is the source of this 1442-nucleotide non-coding RNA. The record is from the annotation of a GenBank genome assembly. Lineage: Eukaryota; Metazoa; Chordata; Amphibia; Anura; Pelobatidae.